UACGUAGGUGGCAAGCGUUGCUCGGAAUCACUGGGCGUAAAGGGCGCGUAGGCGGGGAGGUAAGUCGGGUGUGAAAUCCCUCGGCCCAACCGAGGAACUGCGCCCGAGACUGCUUCUCUUGAGUCCCGGAGAGGAAGAUGGAAUUCCCGGUGUAGCGGUGAAAUGUGUAGAGAUCGGGAGGAACACCGGUGGCGAAGGCGGUCUUCUGGACGGUGACUGACGCUGAGGCGCGAAAGCGUGGGGAGCAAACGGG
RNAcentral lists this ribosomal RNA (253 nucleotides) under uncultured bacterium. Its description in RNAcentral is "partial 16S ribosomal RNA". It matches the Rfam family "Bacterial small subunit ribosomal RNA", at positions 524 to 776 of the family's 1533-position model. The record is from RNAcentral.